RNAcentral lists this ribosomal RNA (755 nucleotides) under Vreelandella aquamarina. RNAcentral describes it as "bacterial SSU rRNA". It matches the Rfam family "Bacterial small subunit ribosomal RNA", at positions 31 to 790 of the family's 1533-position model. The record is from RNAcentral. Lineage: Bacteria; Pseudomonadati; Pseudomonadota; Gammaproteobacteria; Oceanospirillales; Halomonadaceae.
GAGCAUGGCGGCAGCUACACAUGCAGUCGAGCGGUAACAGAUCCAGCUUGCUGGAUGCUGACGAGCGGCGGACGGGUGAGUAAUGCAUAGGAAUCUGCCCGAUAGUGGGGGAUAACCUGGGGAAACCCAGGCUAAUACCGCAUACGUCCUACGGGAGAAAGGGGGCUUCGGCUCCCGCUAUCGGAUGAGCCUAUGUCGGAUUAGCUAGUUGGUGAGGUAACGGCUCACCAAGGCCACGAUCCGUAGCUGGUCUGAGAGGAUGAUCAGCCACAUCGGGACUGAGACACGGCCCGAACUCCUACGGGAGGCAGCAGUGGGGAAUAUUGGACAAUGGGGGGAACCCUGAUCCAGCCAUGCCGCGUGUGUGAAGAAGGCCCUCGGGUUGUAAAGCACUUUCAGCGAGGAAGAACGCCUAGCGGUUAAUACCCGCUAGGAAAGACAUCACUCGCAGAAGAAGCACCGGCUAACUCCGUGCCAGCAGCCGCGGUAAUACGGAGGGUGCAAGCGUUAAUCGGAAUUACUGGGCGUAAAGCGCGCGUAGGUGGCUUGAUAAGCCGGUUGUGAAAGCCCCGGGCUCAACCUGGGAACGGCAUCCGGAACUGUCAAGCUAGAGUGCAGGAGAGGAAGGUAGAAUUCCCGGUGUAGCGGUGAAAUGCGUAGAGAUCGGGAGGAAUACCAGUGGCGAAGGCGGCCUUCUGGACUGACACUGACACUGAGGUGCGAAAGCGUGGGUAGCAAACAGGAUUAGUCCCUGG